GGUAAACUUCGUAACAGGCGACAAAUCGGCACCGUCAAUUUCAGCAACAAAUUUGUUCCAAAAGGGUGGCCAAUUCGCACAUUUCCCAUCGAACUGCGUAAUAGAUAGCUUCGGUAAUUUUGUCGACGCCGCUUUCUUUACUUGGUUUUGCUGUCCCGUUGCUAACACCUUCUGAAACUUUAGCUGUUGUUCAUAAAGUUCACGUUCGUGACUCAUUAAGUUCGUGCUUUUCGUCCUCGAUUGCCCUCUCUUGUUUAACUGAUUCGGCCAAUUCAACGGCCUGGUUUUCCUUCGCUAUAUUUUCUUUUAUUCGUUUUAAUUCUAACAAUUUCUCGUCGGCCGUUUUCAAAGUUCCUUCAAUGUCGACAAGCCAUUCUUGCACUUGUUCUUCAGUUUGUUUCUGACCGAAUUUCAAUUCUAUAAUGUCAUCUUUUAAGGCGUGACUCGCUUCGAUUUUACCUUUGAUUGACGCUUCGUGUCUAGUUAUCACAUCGAGGUUUCUCGUUUCGAUUUCUUGUUCGCUUUUACCCAACGUAAAUUUUAAUGUUCGUAGUUUCCCAUCAAGCUCUUGUAGUUUUGUCUCCAUGCUUUUCUUUCACUUCGUUUGUUUAGUUAUAUAUAAUAAAUCACUCGAUAAAUAGCGGCAGUAUAUCACUGUAGUUUGUACGCUGUCGUUUAGUUUCGAUUUGUCACUCGAUAAAUAUGCUAGGUUCUUGCUCUUGUUCGAGCUUAAAAUCUCACAAAUCCCAUCACGGAGGUGCCAGUUGUUGAGAAUUGCCUCCCGUUGAUUCCCAACAUAAAUUAAAAUUACAAACACUGGGUAUUUCUAUAGUUUUAUUGACAAAAAUCUCAUGCUUCGCUGUGUUCUUUCCCGAAUCCCUCCCUAUGUAAACAUUCUCAACGGUAUAUUCCGGAGCUGUCCGACUGUCCGCGAGUAUACUCGCAUGUCCCACGCGAUAAUAAAAAAGCUAAAUAUAGUUUCCGACACAAUACUUUCAGUUUGGUUGUUGACUGAUGAUGAAUCUAUAGUAUAGACUUGCAUUGAGCUUAUUAAACCACCGUUUUAAGGCAGCUAAACGGGCUUGGUUUAUAUUAACACAUAAAAUAAAUUCCUUGAUUCUCAUCACUAGACACAGUCUAC
This 1141-nucleotide long non-coding RNA is filed under the name Paramuricea clavata. The record is from RNAcentral. Lineage: Eukaryota; Metazoa; Cnidaria; Anthozoa; Malacalcyonacea; Plexauridae.